RNAcentral lists this ribosomal RNA (877 nucleotides) under Escherichia coli. RNAcentral's name for it is "partial 23S ribosomal RNA". It matches the Rfam family "Bacterial large subunit ribosomal RNA", at positions 394 to 1268 of the family's 2925-position model. The record is from RNAcentral. Lineage: Bacteria; Pseudomonadati; Pseudomonadota; Gammaproteobacteria; Enterobacterales; Enterobacteriaceae.
AUACUGUGAGCUCGAUGAGUAGGGCGGGACACGUGGUAUCCUGUCUGAAUAUGGGGGGACCAUCCUCCAAGGCUAAAUACUCCUGACUGACCGAUAGUGAACCAGUACCGUGAGGGAAAGGCGAAAAGAACCCCGGCGAGGGGAGUGAAAAAGAACCUGAAACCGUGUACGUACAAGCAGUGGGAGCACAGAGCAAUCUGUGUGACUGCGUACCUUUUGUAUAAUGGGUCAGCGACUUAUAUUCUGUAGCAAGGUUAACCGAAUAGGGGAGCCGAAGGGAAACCGAGUCUUAACUGGGCGUUAAGUUGCAGGGUAUAGACCCGAAACCCGGUGAUCUAGCCAUGGGCAGGUUGAAGGUUGGGUAACACUAACUGGAGGACCGAACCGACUAAUGUUGAAAAAUUAGCGGAUGACUUGUGGCUGGGGGUGAAAGGCCAAUCAAACCGGGAGAUAGCUGGUUCUCCCCGAAAGCUAUUUAGGUAGCGCCUCGUGAAUUCAUCUCCGGGGGUAGAGCACUGUUUCGGCAAGGGGGUCAUCCCGACUUACCAACCCGAUGCAAACUGCGAAUACCGGAGAAUGUUAUCACGGGAGACACACGGCGGGUGCUAACGUCCGUCGUGAAGAGGGAAACAACCCAGACCGCCAGCUAAGGUCCCAAAGUCAUGGUUAAGUGGGAAACGAUGUGGGAAGGCCCAGACAGCCAGGAUGUUGGCUUAGAAGCAGCCAUCAUUUAAAGAAAGCGUAAUAGCUCACUGGUCGAGUCGGCCUGCGCGGAAGAUGUAACGGGGCUAAACCAUGCACCGAAGCUGCGGCAGCGACGCUGAUGCGUUGUUGGGUAGGGGAGCGUUCUGUAAGCCUGUGAAGGUGUACUGUGAGG